UUAGGCCCUGAACUACAUUCGAUUUGCAUGCCGAAUCGCUGGCGGAUCCCCUAAAACACGACUCGGCGCCUGUAUAUUUUACCUGCUGUAUCGACACCUUUCUGCUUAGCCGACUCAAAACUCCAGGGGCCACUCAGGAGUGUGCAUAUUUUGUAACCAGUUCUAGAAGUUUUGUACAGUUGUGAGUCAUGGACACGAAACAGGACGCGCCACCCGCAUAUCCAGCACAACAGCAGCCGGCACAACCUAGCGCCUACCCCGCCCAGCAACCAGGCGCCGUUCAGCAACCAGGCACUUACCCCGCCCAGCAACAAGCUGGCUACCCAGCGCAGCCGCCCGCGCCCGGACAACCUGGGGUUUACGCACCUCAGCCGCAACAACCCGGCUACGCCCAGCAGCCACCGGGAACAUUCGUAUCUCAGGGUCCGGGGCAACCUCCAGCGCCGCCCGAACAGU
Long non-coding RNA from Branchiostoma floridae (Florida lancelet), 456 nucleotides. RefSeq lists it as uncharacterized. The record is from RefSeq and is a predicted model, not a curated record. The transcript is spliced from 3 exons. Lineage: Eukaryota; Metazoa; Chordata; Leptocardii; Amphioxiformes; Branchiostomatidae.